This 514-nucleotide ribosomal RNA is filed under the name uncultured bacterium. Its description in RNAcentral is "bacterial SSU rRNA". It matches the Rfam family "Bacterial small subunit ribosomal RNA", at positions 32 to 518 of the family's 1533-position model. The record is from RNAcentral.
AACGCUGGCGGCGUGCCUAAUACAUGCAAGUCGAACGGCUUUUCUAUGGAAGCUUGCUUCCACUGAGAAGAUAGUGGCGAACGGGUGAGUAACACGUGGGUAACCUGCCCAUAAGAGGGGGGAUAACAUCCGGAAACGGGUGCUAAUACCGCAUAGUUUUCUUGAUCGCAUGAUCGGGAAAGGAAAGACGGCCUUUAUGCUGUCGCUUAUGGAUGGACCCGCGGCGUAUUAGUUAGUUGGUGAGGUAACGGCUCACCAAGACGAUGAUACGUAGCCGACCUGAGAGGGUGAUCGGCCACAUUGGGACUGAGACACGGCCCAAACUCCUACGGGAGGCAGCAGUAGGGAAUCUUCCGCAAUGGACGAAAGUCUGACGGAGCAACGCCGCGUGAGUGAAGAAAGGUUUUCGGAUCGUAAAACUCUGUUGUCAGAGAAGAACAAGUUGGAGAGUAACUGCUCCAGCCUUGACGGUAUCUGACCAGAAAGCCACGGCUAACUACGUGCCAGCCGCGGC